Molecule: unclassified non-coding RNA, 255 nt
Filed under: Hevea brasiliensis (rubber tree)
Lineage: Eukaryota; Viridiplantae; Streptophyta; Magnoliopsida; Malpighiales; Euphorbiaceae
Source: RNAcentral
AGGACUCAUAGCUGGUUCAGCGUCGCGUGUAAUAAUAACGGGUGGUUUAGGUUUAUUCUUAGAACCAGGGGGUCUGCCCCUGGGCCGGCGAACAACUUCGAUGGUAGCACCAUCAGUGCCAGCACUGCUAUUGGGUUCGGUGGGUUUCUGUUUCUGGAUUGGGGUGGCGUUGAUAGGGGUUGUGGUGGUGGUCGUGGUCGUGGUGGUGUUGGUGUUAGGAGAAAGGGUAGCUACGGCGGGGGGACCGGGGGUUCU